CUGCGCGGCUUCCAACGUUCGAUCAGAACUUUACCCGGGAAAUCGACCGCGCGCGUCCUCAGCACAAAUCUUGCUAAGCGACGCUGGUCUCCAGGGAAACAGGCACACACUGCAGAGCUUGUAGAUUGGAGGGGACGGCUGAUUAGUUCUUCUCGCGAGAGGUCUUGAAGUUGGAUUUUAUUCAACUGAAUAACGUUUGUUUUUCUUCCUCUCCAAAUGUUUGGGAACUGGGUAAGGAAAGCAUUGCCCUCCUUAUCAGGUUAGGCUGGUGGUGGCACCAGAAAAGCUGGCGAGGCUUAAUGACUUCCAACAGUUUACAGGUUGAGUUAGAACAACGCAAGUUAAUUUGCAAUUUCCUGCAGGUGGGUGGGGAGAAUUUGAAACGCCUUUCCCACACAUUGUAUUGUUGCGCUUUAAGAUCUUGUAUUCUUAGCAAAUUCUCUAUGCGUUUCGUGCACACUUUAAGUGCUAUAGGCGUAUAUACACGUAGGUAUGAAACAGUCCUAAGUUUAGAGCUUUGACGACAAAUGGCUGCUCUUCUUUAUUCUUUGUUUUAAAAUAUUAUAUCCUGUUUUCCUGUUUCAUUGUUUUUAAUGAUAAAAAUGUAAAUAUAUUAAAAGCUUAAACAUUUUAAAAGGAGAGCAGAUACAGCAUCAUAGGUAUUCCAGAGAGCAAAAAAAUAAGAGUUAGAAGGAAGCUUGAAGGUUUUUAAACCAAAUUCUCUGCUAAUUGCAGUCUGCAGUGAUGCAACCACAGUAUAGUUGACAGAUAUUGCUGACAGACGGCUGUCCAGACGGCUGUCCUUUUAACUUAAAUACUUCCAGCAAAGGAAAGCACUUCUCCCUAGGCAGUCAGUUCCAUUGUUGAACAAUUUCUACCUUGGGAAAGUUUAUCCUAGUGCAGGGAUGGCUGGCCUUUCAGAUGUUGUUGGACUGCAAUUCCCAACUAUUGGAAAUGCUGGCUGGGUAUGAUGGAAACUGGAAUACUACACCAUCUGGAGGGCCACAGGUUAACUACCCCUGUACUAAUGUUUAUCUGAAAUCUGCUUUUCUGCAGUUUCCACCAUUGGUUCUUGUUUUGCCCUCUGGAGCAGUAGGGAACGAGUCUUCAGAUAUCUGAAGACUGCUAUAAUAGCACAUCACAUCAGUUGCUCCACUUUUGCCUCUAUCUCUAACAGGUGGCCCCCAGAAGAUUGCCCAAAACGGAAUGUGGCCCUUGGACUGAAAAAAUUUCCCCACCCCUGCUGUGACUAACACAUAAAGCUUGUAAGUACCUAGCACAAAUGAUCCUGGAUUUCUUUGCCUGAAAUCUGGCACAUUUCUUAUCU
Molecule: non-coding RNA, 1327 nt
Organism: Podarcis lilfordi (Lilford's wall lizard)
Lineage: Eukaryota; Metazoa; Chordata; Lepidosauria; Squamata; Lacertidae
Source: the annotation of a GenBank genome assembly